This 574-nucleotide ribosomal RNA is filed under the name Enterococcus casseliflavus. Its description in RNAcentral is "bacterial SSU rRNA". It matches the Rfam family "Bacterial small subunit ribosomal RNA", at positions 50 to 597 of the family's 1533-position model. The record is from RNAcentral. Lineage: Bacteria; Bacillati; Bacillota; Bacilli; Lactobacillales; Enterococcaceae.
UAUACAUGCAGUCGAACGCUUUUUCUUUCACCGGAGCUUGCUCCACCGAAAGAAAAAGAGUGGCGAACGGGUGAGUAACACGUGGGUAACCUGCCCAUCAGAAGGGGAUAACACUUGGAAACAGGUGCUAAUACCGUAUAACACUAUUUUCCGCAUGGAAGAAAGUUGAAAGGCGCUUUUGCGUCACUGAUGGAUGGACCCGCGGUGCAUUAGCUAGUUGGUGAGGUAACGGCUCACCAAGGCAACGAUGCAUAGCCGACCUGAGAGGGUGAUCGGCCACACUGGGACUGAGACACGGCCCAGACUCCUACGGGAGGCAGCAGUAGGGAAUCUUCGGCAAUGGACGAAAGUCUGACCGAGCAACGCCGCGUGAGUGAAGAAGGUUUUCGGAUCGUAAAACUCUGUUGUUAGAGAAGAACAAGGAUGAGAGUAAAAUGUUCAUCCCUUGACGGUAUCUAACCAGAAAGCCACGGCUAACUACGUGCCAGCAGCCGCGGUAAUACGUAGGUGGCAAGCGUUGUCCGGAUUUAUUGGGCGUAAAGCGAGCGCAGGCGGUUUCUUAAGUCUGAUGUGA